This 140-nucleotide unclassified non-coding RNA is filed under the name uncultured Helotiales. RNAcentral describes it as "sequence contains ITS1". The record is from RNAcentral. Lineage: Eukaryota; Fungi; Ascomycota; Leotiomycetes; Helotiales.
GCGAGUUGAUGCCCUAACGGGUAGAUCUCCCACCCUUGAAUAACAUACCUUUGUUGCUUUGGCGGUUGCGUCUUUGUGACGUCCGCCAGAGAACCCCAAACUCUGAAUUACAGUGUCGUCUGAGUACUAUAUAAUAGUUA